This 312-nucleotide long non-coding RNA is filed under the name Lonchura striata (white-rumped munia). RNAcentral describes it as "domestica (Bengalese finch) lncRNA (ENSLSDG00000002957.1)". The record is from RNAcentral. Lineage: Eukaryota; Metazoa; Chordata; Aves; Passeriformes; Estrildidae.
CCUCCCCGGCACACCUGGACUCGAUUCCUGCCCCCCCAAAUAAAGCCCAGGUGUGAUCCAGGUGUGCCCAGGUGUGCUCCAGGUGUGUCCAUGUCUAUCCAGGUGCGCCCAGGUGCGCCCAGGUGCGCUCAGGGGGGCGGCAGGAGGGGCGUGGGCACACCUGGCACCCCCGGAACCGCACAGGUGACCCCUCCAGGUGUGUCCACGUCCAUCCAGGUGUAUCCAGGUGUGUCCACGUCCAUCCAGGUGCACCCAGGGCGGGGUCAGGAGGGGCGUGGGCACACCUGGCAGCCCCGGAACCGCACAGGUGAC